Non-coding RNA from Schistosoma mattheei, 45 nucleotides. NCBI's taxonomy places the organism in Eukaryota, Metazoa, Platyhelminthes, Trematoda, Strigeidida, Schistosomatidae. The record is from Rfam.
AUCCAGUUGACGAGUCCCAAACAGGACGGAACGUGCAUCCUGGAU